CGUGAAAUGGCGCAUGCAUUAUUGAAAAGAGGUGGCAGUCAUAGCUGAAGUAUAGCAGUAUAGCGCCAGAGAUUGUUCAUCAUCGGCCGAUUGAACUAAAUUGUUUCAAAUUCUACUGACAAACGUGUUUGCUCACCUUGCUGGUUAUUCCUCAAAUAAAUGGCCCAGUAUCUUCCGUCAAGAGCCGCCGUCGUCUUUCUAGCGGCCGUUUUGCAGUUUUACUCCGGCCCAGCCACUAGUGCUGGCAACCGAGUCCCGAAAACGCAAAACGGAAAGGUUCGCGCCAACUUUGGACGAAACAACCCGAAAUGACUGUCAGACAAGGAAAGAAUUAGCGGAAGAAAGCGACAGCCAGAUGAGAAUGAUUAACAGUGACGCAACUACUAAAGAGAACCAGUACAACCAGCAGGAAUGCUGGCAGUGGAAUCAAGUCGGCAUCGUCAGCUGGGGCUUUUGUGCGAACAAGAAUCUAUCGGGGGGUUUAAUACCCUCGAGCGACGUCGUUCGGGUCCUGGAUCAAGAAAGAAAUGAUGACGCACAAGAUCAACAUUUAACGGUCGUUGUUAUCUCGGGUUGGCUGGUGAGGACCCACUUCCAGAAAUCUUUUGAGCUGAUAAUUAUUAACUAAAGGCAAAGGACUCGUUGGACCGCACUGUACCGCAAUUAUUUCAUUUUGCAUUACUGCAGGUCCACAUUGGCUGUCCUGGAACGUCAUCACCCAAAAGAAAAGUGUCCAAUCAGAAUUCCAGCCGGCGAGACAGUGCUCAGCGUCAAGGCUUCGUCUUGUCUAGCAUCAGUCUUAUCGUGUAGUAUUAAAAAUAACUUGCUGCUUGCCUUGAGCUGUCUGCUGGUAUGCCUGCGAGAAAGCAAGAAACAAUGAGGCGAUAAACCCUCAGCUGUUUGAUUGGCAGUCUGCUGUAUGGCGGUUUGUGGGCCAGAGCGUAACAGCCGCUUCUAUUUCAAUUCUGCUAACUCCAUCAAAGAAAAUCACGAACGGUCCCGAACUUUAGGAUAUGCGACAGUAGUUGCUGGGCGACGUUAAAACCGAGGACGCGAAUCGAAAGUUGCACGACAUCAGUUUCGAAAGUUUAUAUUGUCGUGUUUCAUUCAAACAUCAUUUAAAGGAUAUCACAACUCAAGUAAUUCCCGAGUAAUUCUAGACUUGUGAAGAUGACGAGUGAAGUGCCAAACAGUGUAACCAGCCUGGAUAUUCUUAUAUUCGUCUGAAUACAAUUCGAAAUCAAGGUAAGAAAAAACAAUAUUGAAUUAAUUGCCUCCGACGAAAACAUUUGAAAUCGUUGCGGUUCUGUGAGUUGCCAAUAGAGUCAAACUUCAUGGUAUUUGAACAGACUUUUCUUUAAAAUUUUUCUCUGUAAUUUUGCAAUAUUUUUAACGACUUCCCCGUCCCACCCUUUUAUUUUUGCUCUAAGGAAAGCCUAUCUAGCAAGGAAAAAACAAUGAAAUAAAAAUGAAAUAAAAAAUAAAAGCAAAUUGUUGUCCGAGUUUCGGACCCCUUGAUUCUUGUUGAAAUUGAAUUUGGAUUCGAUAGGCGUCAUUUCUUUCUUGAUCAAGGGCAGGAACGACGUCACUCUAGCAUAAACGCCAGCUGACGAUGCCGGCCUGAAUCCAUUGGCAAUCCUUUUUACGAUUCCCAACCGGUUUAGCAGCUUUGAUUGUGUUGUUUUCGUCGAGGUCGUUUGAUUCGAUCACCAUUGGACCUCCGCUAUCCCCCUGGCCA
Molecule: long non-coding RNA, 1738 nt
Organism: Daphnia pulicaria
Lineage: Eukaryota; Metazoa; Arthropoda; Branchiopoda; Diplostraca; Daphniidae
Exons: 5
Source: RefSeq, a predicted model, not a curated record